Molecule: long non-coding RNA, 2628 nt
Organism: Cavia porcellus (domestic guinea pig)
Lineage: Eukaryota; Metazoa; Chordata; Mammalia; Rodentia; Caviidae
Exons: 2
Source: RefSeq, a predicted model, not a curated record
UUUUUUUUUUUUUUGUCUUUUUCCUUUUUAUCGAUACCAGGGAUCGAACCCACGACUGCCUGCUUGCAAGGCAGGCGCUUAUGCCACUGAGCUAAAUCCCCAGCUCCUUGUUUUGUCUUUUUGAGACAGGGUCUCUCUAUGCAGUUCAGGCUGGCCUUGAGCUCACUUUGUAGCCCAGGCUGGUCUCGAACUUACAACGAUCCUCCUGCCUCAGCCUCCCGAGUGCUGGGAUUAUAGACAUGAGCCACCACGCCCGGCUGCACCCAUGGGUUUGAGCCAGCUGCUCUGUACACCCUGAGCUCCUGAAUGAAUGGCUCUCAAGUGGAUACCUCAGGCCCAUGGCAGCCCCUCCUGAGCCUAUGGCCUUGGAUCUCCUCCAGGAGACAAAAUGGAUCUCUCACCAGCCCCACUCCCAAUCCUUAGAGGAAGCCUGGAGUUGGGCAGGGAAUAGUGGAGGUACCUCAGCAGGCCAUCAUUGGAAGCAUGCCAAGAAUGAUUCAAACCCUUUUUAACAUUUGGAGCUAGGAAUGAUGGCAUGUCUGUAACUGGCACUGUGGGAGGCUGAGGCAGGUGGAUCUCAAGUUGGAGCCUAGCCAAGGGCAAUUUAGCAACUAUGGAGGACCCUGUCUCAAAAAUAAAAAAAAAAAAAGGGCUGGGGAUGUGGCUCAGUGAGAAAGCCCUAGGUUCAAUCCCCAGUAAAACACACACACACACACACAGUUUUUUUGAGGCUAUUUAUAGUCCAGGCUGGCCUCAAACUUGCAGCCAUCCUCGUGCCUUAGCUUCUAGAGUGCUACAAUUACAGGCAUGCCAUUAUUCUCAGCUCCACUUUUUUUUAAAAAAUGUGGGUUUUUUGUUUUUGUUGUUGUUGUUGUUUGGUACCAAGAAUUGAAGUCAGGAUCUUGCAGGCACUGAGGCACUAUACUAUAUCCUGGGACUAAAAAAUGUUUGAAUAAAAUGUUAAUGAGCAUCUGAAAAGACCUAAGCUGCCUCAGAAAUCAGGAAAGUGCAAAUUAAAGCAAUGCCAGAGUGAGAAAGGGCUCUCCCCUGGCAUGCUGCUGCUGAGCCUGAGUGUAGUGUGGCCUCUCAUCUGGUGGCCAUCUGCUUCUCUACCUGUGCUGUGCUCCUCUAGGAGCUACUGACGCCUGCCUGUGUCAGUCCCUGCCCUGCCACUUACCAUCCUAACUCAGCUCUAGCCUCAGAAUGUGACUGCAUUUGGAGGAAGUUGAGGUGGUUAGAGUAGGUCCUAAUCCAACAUGACUGGUAUCCUUAUAAGAUGGCCAUGGAGACUGAACAGGUAGAAAGUGAAGCAAUCUACAGUUACUGUACAGUUACAGUGAAUCCAAUCUCUUGCCCCAUCAGGCUUCUCCUCACCCACAUGUACUGAGCUGCAUAACUCUGCACAGGCCAAACUACACAUAAAAGUCAACAAUGUGCCUGCCUUUGUUUCACCUAUUUUUUUUAAGACAGCAUAUUGCUAAGACAGGGUAGUUCAGGGUGGCCCUGAGUUUACUAUGUAGCCCUGGACGACCUUAAACUUGUGAUGAUCCUCCUGCCUCACCCUCCUGAGUGCUGGGGUUACAGGUAUUCACCACUGUGCCUGGCUCUGUGACCUGUGACUUUCAUUUGGAGCUCUCUGGGCCCUCAUGAGGUCCAGUAAUGGACUACGUCACCCUGGUUCUCAUAAUAGGUGUCUUGUGCCAGAGUCCAUAGUGAUCUAAAGGAAACACUCCCAGGACAUGUCAUCAAUCACCCCUUCCUCAACUUCAAACCUUUAUAAAGUCCUGUUUUUCACCUUGGCAGUGCAAUUCCUUCCUUGGAAACUCAUCCACUGUCCCAACAGUGAACCCCAGUCUACACAGGCUCUUGUCUUCAUGGACAGACACAGGGAAAAUGUAUGUGAUGAUGAAGCAGACGAGAGCCAUGUAUCUUUGGGCCAAGGAGCAUCAAGAUCAAGGAUUGCCAGCAAAAUCAGAAGCUGGAGGGCUGGGGAUUUAGCUUAGUGGUGCAAGCACCUGCCUGGCAAGCAUGAGCUUGUGAGUUCAAUCCCCAGUACUGAAAAGAAAGGAAAGAAAAGAAAACUGGCCUUCAAAUUAUUGGAUACCAAGAAAAAAAAAACACCCCCCCAAAAAACCCCAGAAGCUGGAAGCUGAGGAAUAACUCUCAAAGCCUUGUCUAUAGAUGAGUGAGGCUUGUGUGUGUGUGUGUGUGUGUGUGUGUGUGUGUGUGUGUGUUAGGGUCUUGCUAUGUAGUCCAGACCAGCCUUGAACUAACUUGUGGCAAUCUUCCUGUCUCAGUCUCCCAGAGCUGGGAUUACAGGUACGUGUCACCUCGUCCAGAGAACACAUGUGGAGGAGGCAUCUAAAUCUGAACCAUAACACAGGCACUCCAGGCUGACCAGACCAGGAAACAAGUCCACAUGCUCCUGCCUCUCAGCGCUGCAGAGCGAGUGCGCUGGGAGAUGCUCCACCACACCUUGGCAGCACCGCGAGAAGGAUCAAGCCAGGCCUGUGUUCCACCUGGUCUGCUGGUGCCAGACACUGCAAUCUUGCCUACCCUGUUACUUUUGAAAUUGCUUUAUAAUGGUGUCUUUUAAAUUGCUUUUAAAAAUUGUUUCCUCUCUUCCUA